CUACGGGUCGCUGCAGUGAGGAAUAUUGGUCAAUGGGGGAAACCCUGAACCAGCGACGCCGCGUGUGGGAUGAAUGGGCUCUGCCCUGUAAACCACUGUUGAGAGGGAAGAAAAGCUUCUUAUGGAAGCCGGGACUGUACCUCUUCAGAAAGGAUCGGCUAACUACGUGCCAGCAGCCGCGGUAAUACGUAGGAUCCAAGCGUUGUCCGGAAUUACUGGGUGUAAAGGGUGCGUAGGCGGGCUUGUGCGUCAGGGGUUAAAUCCCACGGCUUAACCGUGGAGCUGCCCUUGAUACGGCAAGUCUUGAGUGUGAGAGAGGAUGGUAGAAUUCCUGGUGUAGCGGUGAAAUGCGUAGAUAUCAGGAGGAAUACCAGUGGCGAAGGCGGCCAUCUGGCUCACUACUGACGCUGAGGCACGAAAGCGUGGGGAGCGAACAGGAUUAGAUACCCCUGUAGUC
RNAcentral lists this ribosomal RNA (457 nucleotides) under uncultured bacterium. RNAcentral's name for it is "partial 16S ribosomal RNA". It matches the Rfam family "Bacterial small subunit ribosomal RNA", at positions 339 to 795 of the family's 1533-position model. The record is from RNAcentral.